GGGCCCAUAGUUUAACGGUAAAACGAACCCAUGGCAUGGGUUAGGUCGGGGUUCAAUUCCCCGUGGGUCCA
RNAcentral lists this transfer RNA (71 nucleotides) under Candidatus Roizmanbacteria bacterium. Its description in RNAcentral is "tRNA-Ala". It matches the Rfam family "tRNA". Rfam says of the family: Transfer RNA (tRNA) molecules are approximately 80 nucleotides in length. Their secondary structure includes four short double-helical elements and three loops (D, anti-codon, and T loops). Lineage: Bacteria; Candidatus Roizmaniibacteriota. The record is from RNAcentral.